Molecule: ribosomal RNA, 452 nt
Filed under: uncultured bacterium
Lineage: Bacteria
Description: bacterial SSU rRNA
Rfam family: Bacterial small subunit ribosomal RNA
Source: RNAcentral
ACUCCUACGGGAGGCAGCAGUGGGGAAUAUUGCACAAUGGGCGCAAGCCUGAUGCAGCCAUGCCGCGUGUGUGAAGAAGGCCUUGGGUUGUAAAGCACUUUCAGUCGUGAGGAAGGUAGUGUAGUUAAUAGCUGCAUUAUUUGACGUUAGCGACAGAAGAAGCACCGGCUAACUCCGUGCCAGCAGCCGCGGUAAUACGGAGGUGCGAGCGUUAAUCGGAAUUACUGGGCGUAAAGCGCAUGCAGGUGGUUUGUUAAGUCAGAUGUGAAAGCCCGGGGCUCAACCUCGGAAUAGCAUUUGAAACUGGCAGACUAGAGUACUGGUAGAGGGGGUAGAAUUUCAGGUGUAGCGGUGAAAUGCGUAGAGAUCUGAAGGAAUACCGGUGGCGAAGGCGGCCCCUGGACAGAUACUGACACUCAGAUGCGAAAGCGUGGGAGCAAACAGGAUUAGAU